AUUGAACGCUGGCGGCAUGCCUUACACAUGCAAGUCGAACGGCAGCGCGGGAGCAAUCCUGGCGGCGAGUGGCGAACGGGUGAGUAAUACAUCGGAACGUGCCCAAUCGUGGGGGAUAACGCAGCGAAAGCUGUGCUAAUACCGCAUACGAUCUACGGAUGAAAGCAGGGGAUCGCAAGACCUUGCGCGAAUGGAGCGGCCGAUGGCAGAUUAGGUAGUUGGUGAGGUAAAGGCUCACCAAGCCUUCGAUCUGUAGCUGGUCUGAGAGGACGACCAGCCACACUGGGACUGAGGCACGGCCCAGACUCCUACGGGAGGCAGCAGUGGGGAAUUUUGGACAAUGGGCGAAAGCCUGAUCCAGCCAUGCCGCGUGCAGGAUGAAGGCCUUCGGGUUGUAAACUGCUUUUGUACGGAACGAAACGGUCUUUUCUAAUAAAGAAGGCUAAUGACGGUACCGUAAGAAUAAGCACCGGCUAACUACGUG
RNAcentral lists this ribosomal RNA (484 nucleotides) under uncultured bacterium. RNAcentral describes it as "partial 16S ribosomal RNA". It matches the Rfam family "Bacterial small subunit ribosomal RNA", at positions 30 to 507 of the family's 1533-position model. The record is from RNAcentral.